AUGAACGCUGGCGGCGUGCUUAACACAUGCAAGUCGCACGGAAAGGCUCCUGCUUGCAGGGGUACUCGAGUGGCGAACGGGUGAGUAACACGUGGGUGAUCUGCCCUGCACUUCGGGAUAAGCCUGGGAAACUGGGUCUAAUACCUGAUAGGACGAUGGUUUGGAUGCCAUUGUGGAAAGUUUUUUCGGUGUGGGAUGAGCUCGCGGCCUAUCAGCUUGUUGGUGGGGUAAUGGCCUACCAAGGCGUCGACGGGUAGCCGGCCUGAGGGGGUGUACGGCCACAUUGGGACUGAGAUACGGCCCAGACUCCUACGGGAGGCAGCAGUGGGGAAUAUUGCACAAUGGGCGCAAGCCUGAUGCAGCGACGCCGCGUGGGGGAUGACGGCCUUCGGGUUGUAAACUCCUUUCGCUAGGGACGAAGCGCAAGUGACGGUACCUGGAGAAGAAGCACCGGCUAACUACGUG
This 465-nucleotide ribosomal RNA is filed under the name uncultured bacterium. Its description in RNAcentral is "partial 16S ribosomal RNA". It matches the Rfam family "Bacterial small subunit ribosomal RNA", at positions 29 to 507 of the family's 1533-position model. The record is from RNAcentral.